Molecule: microRNA precursor, 221 nt
Organism: Arabidopsis thaliana (thale cress)
Lineage: Eukaryota; Viridiplantae; Streptophyta; Magnoliopsida; Brassicales; Brassicaceae
Rfam family: MIR854 microRNA precursor family
Source: Rfam
CUAAUGAAACAGAUGAAGUGGAGUAUGACACGAGCAUGUAUCAUUUUAGUGAGCAUGUACCUCCAGCGAGGGAGAGCAAGAGUUUGAGUGAAUCUCACAGAAACAACAGCAAGUUGCAAAAGUGGUGCAAGAAACAAGAUAAAUUACUCAUUAAGUGCUUCAAGGCUAUCAAGUUUCUGAAGGACAAGCUAAGCUGCUCCUCUUCCACUACUGCUAUUCCG